Molecule: ribosomal RNA, 557 nt
Filed under: uncultured bacterium
Lineage: Bacteria
Description: bacterial SSU rRNA
Rfam family: Bacterial small subunit ribosomal RNA
Source: RNAcentral
CCUACGGGAGGCAGCAGUGGGGAGUAUUGCACAAUGGAGGAAACUCUGAUGCAGCGACGCCGCGUGAAUGAUGAAGGCCUUCGGGUCGUAAAAUUCUGUCCUAGGGGACGAUAAUGACGGUACCCUAGGAGGAAGCCCCGGCUAACUACGUGCCAGCAGCCGCGGUAAUACGUAGGGGGCAAGCGUUGUCCGGAUUUAUUGGGCGUAAAGGGUACGCAGGCGGUCUUAUAAGUCAGAUGUGAAAUCUUACGGCUCAACCGUAAUCAGCAUUUGAAACUGGAAGACUUGAAUCAAGGAGAGGAAAGUGGAAUUCCUAGUGUAGCGGUGAAAUGCGUAGAUAUUAGGAGGAAUACCAGUGGCGAAGGCGACUUUCUGGACUUGUAUUGACGCUGAGGUACGAAAGCGUGGGGAGCGAACAGGAUUAGAUACCCUGGUAGUCCACGCCGUAAACGAUGAGUGCUAGGUGUCGGGUGUCAAAGCUCGGUGCCGCAGCUAACGCAUUAAGCACUCCGCCUGGGGAGUACGUACGCAAGUAUGAAACUCAAAGGAAUUGACGG